Non-coding RNA from Vigna umbellata (rice bean), 168 nucleotides. Lineage: Eukaryota; Viridiplantae; Streptophyta; Magnoliopsida; Fabales; Fabaceae. The record is from RefSeq and is a predicted model, not a curated record.
CAGAUAGAAUAACAGACCACAGUAAUGCAGAUGUUGCCGUUGAUUCAUACCACCGCUACAAGGGAGAUGUGGCUAUGAUGAAGGAUAUUGGAUUCAAUGCCUACAGGUUCUCCAUCUCUUGGCCAAGAAUACUACCUCAUGGAAACUUGCAGGGAGGAGUUAACCAAU